UCAUUACUAAAACCUUGCUUGACUCUUAACGUUGGCAAAAACAAACACCUGUGGAAUGUCCUGAAGGCUUUUAAUCAGAUACCUGUGUUGCUGUUGGCUGAACUCUAGUGAAGCAUUAAUUUAAAGCUAAAUUGGUCUUCUGGAAUAUCAGUUAUGCUUUUUGGGUUUAGAAAAUAUGUAGGAAUUAGUCUAAGCUUCUCACUCAUGAAUCAAUGUGUUUCCGAGACUCUCAGCUUCCUCUUUUUUUUUUCUUUAAAUGAUUUUUUUUGUGUUUUGAUUCAAUGUAUCCUUUUUCAUAGUUCUGUAUUAUUGGCUUCACCAGUGUUGAUAGAAAAAGAAAUCAAAUCUUGAGUUGGAAACAGCAAUGGAUUAGGAUAUAGAAAUAAAAUCAUGGUAACAUCAGUGCUGGAUUUCCUUAAGCUUCUGCUACCUAAUUCCCCAUGUUGAAAGUGCAUACUCCUCAUGUUUUGCUUCUGGACAAAGGCAAUUAGAGGAGUCUUAGCCCAGUAUGAUAGGAUUUUAAAGAUCUUUCCCAACAGAAACACAGGAAUUGCGGGAACAUGGGGACAGAUGAGUUUUUUUAAAGGAUUGUUCUUUUGUCAAUAAGUUAUUUUGAUACUAAUGCUAGUAAAAGGGAUAUUCUAGAACAUCUUGAAGUUGGAAUACAAAUGAUAUUCUCUUGGGUUUAGGAGAAUUUAAGCAGUCUAUGCAACCCUUCACAUUGUGAGAAAUAAGCCCUUCGCAGUCCCACUAAGCUUUCGGUGACUUCAAUGCCUCCCCAGAUUCCCUGUGUUGCUGCUUGUUGACACCCAGCUUUUAACUGAGUGUUUGCUCCUGAUGGUUUAAGAGAUGUUCAUGUUGUAUCACACUAUCAAGUUUUAUUUUGUCUUUUUAUCCCUCUGUGGGUGUGUGUUUGAAACAAGCAUGGUACUGUAAUCCUACCUGAUAGAGUGUUCUGGAAUGAGAAUUCUUUCCUAAGCGGGAGACCCUUCCAUUUUAAUGUUUCUAAAGUUUUUAAUAUGGACUUGGCAUUGGAAAAGGGAGGGAAAGAAAAUGUUUACUAAAAAGCAGUGUCUGAUCUUCCCCUUUAUGAGUGCAUAUUUAUGGUCGAAUGAAAAGAAGAGAAAGACUCUUGGGUUUUCCGUUGCCAUGUUAAGUAUGGAGAGGGAUGCUUGACAGCAUGCUAAUUGAAGCCAGAACAAGUAUGUCUCCAUCAGGUUAUCAGGAACUCUUCAGUUGAAUGCUGAGGACCUAACUGGUUAGUGGUAGAUCAUAUUGGAAUUGGUUACAAGAUAGAAGUGCUGUCUGGGUUAAGCACCCUAAGAAAAGAAUGCAGCAGCCUAACAUAGUGUUAAACUAGGUUUCUGGAUUUGAAACUGAUCCUUCCCUCGCCCCAUUCCACACACCUGAAACUGUCCGUUUUCUUAUCAGACCAAAGAGCAAAGAAGAAAAAAAAAGUAAAAUACUUUACCAAUCUAUGUCACUCAGGUACAAUUUUGUGGUAAUAUUUUUGUCUGUUUUCUUUGUAUUGCUCUUAAGAGUCCUUUCUCAGCACACUCUUCUGCUGUUGCCUCUGUCCUCCUCGGGGCACCUCAGUUCUGGAUGCUACCCCUGGGAUCUCUACCGCUGUUAUGUGACUGAUAGGAUGUAAGUGACCAUUACAGUAAGGGCUCUUUGUAAAAAAUUCAAAAAAACAUUUUUAAAAAAUUUAAAAAAGGAUGUUGUAUACAUUUUAUAGUCUGGCUAUCAGUUUGAUAUCUUGCUGUCAAGUAUGUUUCUCAAUCUGUAUUUAUCCAUCCCAUCAAUAAAUGUUAAUGAUAAAACACUCAUCUGAUUGUUGUUUAUGUGUCCUAAGUCUUUAAAUUAGGCUUUAACUGCCGUUUACUCUUAUGAUUAUAGUUUUUAGUUUUGGUAGUAUAUACUUUCUGACUACACAAGAUUCUGGAGAAUUCGAGUCCAGGAAAGACCUAAGAUUUGGUUGUCACAGUGAACCUGGUAGUAGUAUAAAGUAUGAUGUAGUCAGAGGGGGAAAAAAACCCACACUCAAUAUAGCAUUCUUGGUGGUGCCUGGAAAAACUGAUAGUGAAUGCUCACUCUUUUCCUGAUACAUAUAAAACCACACACACACGCACACACACACGGUAAAUCUUAUAAAUUACACAUUUAAAGGGAAAGAAUACUUGUGCCAAAAUAUUUCAAAAUUAUAACAAAGCAGAAACUAUGGCUUAAAAACUAAAAGGAAAAAAAGGUCAAUUUGACAGAAUGAUGUACGCAUCUGAAAAAAAAAUCACUUGAGUUCUCGUCAACCUUCUAUUUUCUAAAAUAAGACAACUUAAGAUUUUUGAUUGCUGUAUCUCUCCUGAAACUUUUGUGGAAGUUGCUGACAUUUUAGACAUUCUGGUCUGGUUUGAAUGGAAGAAAAGCAAAUGAAGAAUGUAGGAAUGGAUGAUAUUACAAAAUCCUAAGUUUUAGUGACUUGCCUUUGUUAAGAGAGUUAAUAUCAACUGUGUCAUCCUUGGCAAUAGAUGAGGUACAUAAAUCACAGUAUAAAGGUGGAUCCCCAUGAAUAGGGCUUGUUAAACUAAUUCAUACAGUUAGGCUUCAUCUUAUGAUCAAUGCUUGCAUGAUCCUGGUCUCUAUCAUUCAAUGUUCUGAGGAAAAUUUGAAACCCUUUCUGUGUCUUCUGUGGAUUUUAUUGGCUUGAUAGGAUGCAUGUAUUUAUUGCAGUCUGGCUCUGGGGCUUAUUUCUGAACUGAUUUCGUUUAUGUCACAUGUCUUAACUUGUGCUACCUUUUUUUGUACUGUGGCAUAUCCGCCCUUUUAUUUCAUAAACACUCAGGCAAAAACAAGUUAAAAUUGAAUAUUAGGUAGACCUUUUCUGAAGAAUAGUUUCAGGUACUUUCCUGCCUUAAAUUUAUUCAUUCAUUAGAAAAUAGUACCUAUCAAGUGCUGUGUACUGUUUACUGAUGGAAUAUGGCAGUAAACGUAACAGACAUCCUGCCCUCAAAGAACUUAACACAUUUUAGUUGUAGUGGAGAUAAGUAAAAGUUAGUAUGUUAGAUAAUAAGUACUUUGGAGAAUGUUAAGCGGAGAAAGAAUAGAGAUUUUUUGUGUGUCUGUGUUUAAGCUAAGUAGGGCUCUUGAAAUUGGAAAUAAGAUGGCUAGGAAGGAAGAAGGCCCCAUAAAAUUACAAUUCAGCAAAGAUCUGAACGAGAUGAGAGCAAGCCAUAACAGUAGCUGGGGUAAGAACAUUACAGGCUCUUUUAGGAAACAAGUACAAGGUUCUGAGGUGAGAAUAUGCUGGUAUGUUUGAAAAUUGCAGGAAGGCCAGUCUAGCUGGUAUGGACACAAGAUGAAGAGAGAGUAGUAGGAUGUGUGAUUAGAGAGGAAAUGGAAUGCUAGGUACUGUAGGGCCUUGUAAGCCACCAUGUAAGAUCGUGAAAUGCAUCAAUGGAAAGCUUGGAGCAGAAAAGGGACGUGGUCUAGCUGAGGUUUUUUUUUUUUUGUAGCUGAGGUUUUAAAGUGUUCUUUUAGCCAUCUGUAUUUGAAAUGGCUUUCGUAAUAAGGUAAGAGAUGAGAGUGGUUUGGGUCAGGUAAUGAGAAGUUAUAUCUUGAAUUUGGAGGCAGUAGGAUCUGCUGUAAGUUUGGAAGAGAAUAGUCAUGGGUGAUUCCCAGUGUUUGGCCUGACCAACUGGAAAGGUGGAGUUGUCAUACUGAGACGGGGGUAACUACAAAAAGAGCAGGAGUUUGGCAUCCAUUCAUAUUCAUUCUCUGUGUCAUGUGCACACACACCCCUUUCUCUAGGAUUGGCACUGAGAACUACAAAUUCUCAAAAAUUCUCUUUCCUUCGAAACUUCAUCUUUGCCAAUCUAUUUACAAGCAGCCUCAGGUCCACUUGAACCUAUUCAUUAGCUAGCAGAGUGUUCAGUGGAUUAAAGACAGAUAUCUUAAAAAAAAAAAAAAAAAACAAAGAAAACCCAGCCAUCUUCUUUGUUAAACAGCACAAAGAAUUUGCCAACAUGUUGAUCCUUUAAUAAUAUCUUCCCUCUUUCCCACUUAAAGGUAGUGGUUGUAAAUAGCAAUUUUUUGCUUGUUUUAGCAGGUGGAUUUUUUUUUUUUCCUGCCUGUGUGGCUCAGCGGUUGAGCGCCUGCUUUCUGCCCAGGGCAUGAUCCUGGAGUCCUAGGAUCGAGUCCCACAUCAGGCUUCCUGCACGCAGCCUGCUUCUCCCUCUGCCUAUGUCUCUGCCUCUCUCUCUCUCUGUGUCUCAUGAAUAAAUAAAUGAAAUCUUUAAAGAAAAAAAUAUUUUUUUCCCAACUAAGACCUAUAGUUGACACUAAACAAUGAAGGUCUGUUGCAUCCCUAGCUAGUUCCUAAUGCCUCUUUUCAUUGUUCACUGUAGUAGAGUUUUGAUAUUACCACAUCUGGUUUCAGAUUCCUAUUUUUUAAUAAGAUUUUAUUUAUUUAUUUACAGAGACAGAGCACAAACGCGGGAGUGGGAGGGAGAGGGAGAAGCAGGCUCCCCGCAUAACAUCUCUGCUCCAUUCUAGCACCCUGGGAUCAUGACCUGAGACAAAAACAGACAGUUAACCAACUGUACCAUCCAGGCACCCCUCCUUUUUUUUUUUUUUAAGGUUUUAUUUUUAAGUAAUCUCUGCACUCAAUAUGGGGCUCCAGUUCACGCCACCAAGAUCAAGAGUUGCAUGCUCUAGCAAUUGAGCCAGCCAGGCACCCCUGGUUGCAGAUUCUGAUUCCCAUAUUUUCCAGCUAGUUUUGAGUUGUAGAGAGUUUAUAACAAAUGUCUUCUUUGUAUCCCUUCUGAGGGUUGGAGCGUUUGCUUAUGUGUAUAUAUCAUCUUUUCUGUGGAUACUAUGUUUGUAUUUGCAUCCACAAUCUGAAACUGCUCUAGAAUGUUUACUCAAAAGAACAGGGUCAUCUCUCUUGUUCUCUCUGUAUCCCUAGUGCCUAGCACUUAGGUUCUCAAGUAUUUGUUGAAUGAAUGAAUGAAUGUUCAGAAAAGGGCCUUCUGGGGACACCCUAAUCUGGAAAUGACAUCUCUUCUACCUCCCCCUCUACCCCCCUCCUUUGUUUUAAUCACUUCGUGUGCCUAAAGUGUAGUUGUCCAGCAUUGUAGAUUCUCUAUGCACACUUGCAGUGUGAAUCAUACUCAUCAGCUCAUUGUUGCUGGAGAAACCUCUUAAAUGAAACUGACACUAGAUAAACGUUGUAAGGCUGGGAUGCAGAAAAAAGGUCCAGAAGGGUUACAGGGAGAAAUUGUUGGUUCCUUUCUACAACAGGUGGGGUGGAGAUGAAAAAAAAGAUACUUUUGCUGAAAAAUCGUUAAAGUAUGAUAAGAUUGGGAUUGUCUGCUGUUUCUCUAUACCUGCAUUAGUUAGCAUGAAAUUGUAGAGAAUUUUAGAGAAGUAGGGUCAAAACCAGAACUCCUAUUUCCUUAUUCUCAAUCCAAUGCUCUAUGCUACAUGAGAGGCAAUUAAGGGAUAAGGAAUGAGAGCUGGGUUCAAAUUCACCUCCCUUUUCCAUUUACUAGAUAGAUAGAGAGGCCCAUUCUGUUCCUCGGUUAUCUUAUCCGUAAGAUGGAGAUAACAACCUCGGCCUCUCAGGGUUUGCUCUGAAAAUCAAGUGUUUAA
RNAcentral lists this long non-coding RNA (5646 nucleotides) under Canis lupus familiaris (dog). RNAcentral's name for it is "lncRNA (ENSCAFG00805028094.1, ENSCAFG00845025119.1)". Lineage: Eukaryota; Metazoa; Chordata; Mammalia; Carnivora; Canidae. The record is from RNAcentral.